Molecule: ribosomal RNA, 429 nt
Filed under: Gemmatimonadota bacterium
Lineage: Bacteria; Pseudomonadati; Gemmatimonadota
Description: Gemmatimonadetes bacterium partial 16S ribosomal RNA
Rfam family: Bacterial small subunit ribosomal RNA
Source: RNAcentral
UAGGGAAUCUUCGGCAAUGGACGAAAGUCUGACCGAGCAACGCCGCGUGAGUGAAGAAGGUUUUCGGAUCGUAAAACUCUGUUGUUAGAGAAGAACAAGGACGUUAGUAACUGAACGUCACCUGACGGUAUCUAACCAGAAAGCCACGGCUAACUACGUGCCAGCAGCCGCGGUAAUACGUAGGUGGCAAGCGUUGUCCGGAUUUAUUGGGCGUAAAGCGAGCGCAGGCGGUUUCUUAAGUCUGAUGUGAAAGCCCCCGGCUCAACCGGGGAGGGUCAUUGGAAACUGAGAGACUUGAGUGCAGAAGAGGAGAGUGGAAUUCCAUGUGUAGCGGUGAAAUGCGUAGAUAUAUGGAGGAACACCAGUGGCGAAGGCGGCUCUCUGGUCUGUAACUGACGCUGAGGCUCGAAAGCGUGGGGAGCAAACAGG